UGUCACUAUCCAGGCCGGGAAGGGAGUUGCCGGAGCAUUGCACAACAAUUUUUAUGUAUGUUGUGCGUGCGACAGCGACUUCCGUCCGCCUGAUACUUUAC
Molecule: non-coding RNA, 101 nt
Organism: Saccoglossus kowalevskii
Lineage: Eukaryota; Metazoa; Hemichordata; Enteropneusta; Harrimaniidae
Source: RefSeq, marked provisional